UAGCUAAUCUGCCCUACACUAGAGACAACAGUUGGAAACGGCUGCUAAUACUCUAUACUCCUGUCUUACAUAAGUUAGAUAGGGAAAGUUUUUCGGUUGUAGGAUGAGGCUAUAUUGUAUCAGCUAGUUGGUGAGGUAAUGGCUCACCAAGGCUAUGACGCAUAACUGGUCUGAGAGGAUGAUCAGUCACACUGGAACUGAGACACGGUCCAG
Molecule: ribosomal RNA, 213 nt
Filed under: uncultured bacterium
Lineage: Bacteria
Description: partial 16S ribosomal RNA
Rfam family: Bacterial small subunit ribosomal RNA
Source: RNAcentral